This 841-nucleotide long non-coding RNA is filed under the name Pongo abelii (Sumatran orangutan). RNAcentral's name for it is "bidirectional promoter lncRNA". Lineage: Eukaryota; Metazoa; Chordata; Mammalia; Primates; Hominidae. The record is from RNAcentral.
GGAGGAGGGGCAAAAGCCGGGACUUUCAGACCAAGGCGCGGUCAAGCCCAGGCAGCUCUCCCUAACUCUCAAGCAUGGGGCAAACGCUGCCCGAUCACGCCCGCCUUAGAGGCCACGGCAUCACUGGGGUGACUGCGAGCCCCGGCCGUGGAGCCGCUGGGACGCGGCUUACCUCCCGGCUGUCGCUCCUGUGUGUGUUACCCUGCGCCAAUCACGUCCCUGAUGGGACCCUCAGUUUCGGCGUCUGUAAGGCGGGGAGGACGAUGCGUCCCCUCCCUCGCAGGAUUGAGGUUAGGACUAAACGGGGUCCGCAGCGCCGGGCAGCUCCCGAGCGCUCUCCCCAGCCGCGCCUCCCUCCUUCCCGCCACCGGUCCCGCAGGGGCCCGCGGCGUCACCUCUCAGGCUGUAGCGCGCCUGCAUGCCGAAUACCGACAGGGUGCCGGUGCCCGUGCGGUCGUCCUUCCUGACGCCGCAGCGGAGGAUGUGCUCGAUCUGCCCCAGGAUUUCCAGGUCCCAGAUGAAGAGAUAAUUCUACUUACUGGAUAGAGGAUGCAUUAGAUCUUCUUACCUUGAAAAAAAAAGGCAGCAAUGAUCAAAAUACUAAUAAAUUACUUACAGACUCAGUUUAUUUUUUCUUGGAGUAAAAGUCCAGGAUGGGUAAUAGAAUACAUGCUCUUAGCUUUUGGAAAAAUUGAUACUGUAUAUAGCAAAAUAAUGUGAAACCCAUAUGCAUGGAUAUUCUUAACAAUUUGAAGAAAUCUUCACAGUUUUCCUGGGUUGUUGAGCCUCUAAGAUGGUCUUUUCCUCUGAUGUGAUAAUAAAGUGUUUAUUCUGUACUCUA